AUUGAACGCUGGCGGUAGGCCUAACACAUGCAAGUCGAACGGCAGCACAGUAAGAGCUUGCUCUUACGGGUGGCGAGUGGCGGACGGGUGAGGUAUACAUCGGAAUCUACUUUUUCGUGGGGGAUCACGUAGGGAAACUUACGCUAAUACCGCAUACGACCUACGGGUGAAAGCAGGGGAUCUUCGGACCUUGCGCGAUUGAAUGAGCCGAUGUCGGAUUAGCUAGUUGGCGGGGUAAAGGCCCACCAAGGCGACGAUCCGUAGCUGGUCUGAGAGGAUGAUCAGCCACACUGGAACUGAGACACGGUCCAGACUCCUACGGGAGGCAGCAGUGGGGAAUAUUGGACAAUGGGCGCAAGCCUGAUCCAGCCAUACCGCGUGGGUGAAGAAGGCCUUCGGGUUGUAAAGCCCUUUUGUUGGGAAAGAAAAGCAGCAGGUUAAUACCCCGCUGUGCUGACGGUACCCAAAGAAUAAGCACCGGCUAACUUCGUG
RNAcentral lists this ribosomal RNA (492 nucleotides) under uncultured bacterium. RNAcentral describes it as "partial 16S ribosomal RNA". It matches the Rfam family "Bacterial small subunit ribosomal RNA", at positions 30 to 507 of the family's 1533-position model. The record is from RNAcentral.